Non-coding RNA from Cytospora paraplurivora, 87 nucleotides. NCBI's taxonomy places the organism in Eukaryota, Fungi, Ascomycota, Sordariomycetes, Diaporthales, Cytosporaceae. The record is from the annotation of a GenBank genome assembly.
GGACCCAUAGUGUAGUGGUUAGCACGCAGGAUUUUGACUAUAUAUGUUAUCCUUCCUGAGUCCCAAGUUCAAUCCUUGGUGGGUUCA